Long non-coding RNA from Anarrhichthys ocellatus (wolf-eel), 622 nucleotides. RefSeq lists it as uncharacterized. The transcript has 3 exons. The record is from RefSeq and is a predicted model, not a curated record. Lineage: Eukaryota; Metazoa; Chordata; Actinopteri; Perciformes; Anarhichadidae.
GAUGAUAAUGAUGUCACUAUGUUUUGCUCUCAGAAGCGGGUGUGUUUGGGGAUGGAGGUCCAGGUGACUGAGUGUCCAAUGGAAACGUCCCACACCUUCACGGUGUCCAAUCAGCAACAAGAACAGCAGGUUGGUGUGGUCCGGUCCAGACCUCCUCUGCUCUGCUGUCCCAGGUGUCUCGGAGGAGAACCAGGUCACAUCAACCACAUCAUGGGCCACUGAGCAGGAGGAGGAGGCAAACAGUCAUGACCCCGCCCACUGAAAGGACCAAUCGGUUGCUCCUUUUCUCUGAUUUUUAACAUUCCUACGUUUCCAGAGCUUUCCACCACCUCAUGUCCUUCCUCAGUCGUCAUCACGUGACUUUGUUUGCUGGUGUGUUUAAGGACAAUCUGAAAUCUGAGUCUGAUCUUCAUCACAGGAUUAAAUGUAAAUCGGAGCGCUUUUCCAUUAGCUCUCUCAGUUCUCAGAUAUCCACGUGUCCAUGAACGCACCGUCACGUAGAGAGAAGCUGUUUUAUCAGUGAGCUGCAGGCUGCCUCUGAUCUGGGGGUACUUCUCAAGUCUCUUAAUUGUCGUAUCCUCGCUUGAACCGGAUGUUGUUUCUGCACCGCCAUAUUGACGGC